AGCUCCGAGAACUUUACUCGACCACCCGAAAGAUGGUGAGCUAACUUCCCCUGUCAUAGAACUAAAACCUCACUGUUGCAAUAGUGAGAAAGAAGGCCAAGUUAGAGGUAAAAUGCCAACCGCACCACCUGAUAGCUGGUUUUCGGGGAAAAGAGUAAAAGCCCCUUUACCUAAAGAACAACGAUUUAUGUACCAUAAACAAAGAUCACCUCCCUAGAGUAAAAAGAGGAUGGGAGACAAGUUCCACCCUCAAGAGGGAAACAACCCCUAGUGUAAGAAAAGUCAUCAAAAACAAGGGAGAGACCCCAAAGUAGGCCUAAAAGCUGCCAACCAGAAAGAAAGCGUUAAAGCUCACCCUAACUAUUCCCAACAAUUUUUGACAAGAAACUACUCUUCGCUUAUAAGUACCCGAAAAAAAUAAUGUUAAGACAAGUAAAAAGAUACUUCCUUUUCCCCACAAAGAAACCAUAAACCCAAAAACCUAGAAGAGCAAAACACAAGAGAGCUCCACAUAAUAAUUCUAUCAACCCAGAUGUGGAAGGAAAACCGGGAAACCGGGAGGGAAGGAACUCGGCAAACUAGAAAAAGGACUGUUUACCAAAAACAUAGCCCCUUGAAUAUUUAAAGGGUCCCGCCUGCCCAGUGGCCUAAGGCUAAACGGCCGCGGUAUCUUGACCGUGCAAAGGUAGCAUAAUCACUUGUCUUUUAAAUGGAGACUUGUAUGAACGGCGAAACCUUUUUCGACUGUCUCCCCUCCCACCCUUCUAAAUUUCUUUCUGUGUGAAGAAGCACAGAUACUUCAGAAAGACGAGAAGACCCUGUCGAGCUUUAGCCACUAAGUGAACCCAAACCUUUCCCAAGUAUCACCUAAAGGCUUUGGUUGGGGCAACCAUGGAGAAGAAAAACCCUCCAGAACAAGUAGAAGAAACCUUUUCACUACUAACUUCGCCUAAAGAACCAGAAACUGGUAUUCGGAAAAAGUUACCGCAGGGAUAACAGCGUCAUCUCCUCCAAGAGUCCUUAUUGACGAGGGGGUUUGCGACCUCGAUGUUGGAUUGGGGCCUCCCUGGGGUGCAGAAGCUCCAAACGGUUAGACUGUUCGUCUAUUAAAGCCCU
Molecule: ribosomal RNA, 1116 nt
Filed under: Holothuria floridana
Lineage: Eukaryota; Metazoa; Echinodermata; Holothuroidea; Aspidochirotida; Holothuriidae
Description: partial 16S ribosomal RNA
Rfam family: Bacterial large subunit ribosomal RNA
Source: RNAcentral